This 1969-nucleotide ribosomal RNA is filed under the name Lytocestoides tanganyikae. RNAcentral describes it as "SSU rRNA". It matches the Rfam family "Eukaryotic small subunit ribosomal RNA", at positions 110 to 1703 of the family's 1831-position model. Lineage: Eukaryota; Metazoa; Platyhelminthes; Cestoda; Caryophyllidea; Lytocestidae. The record is from RNAcentral.
CUAUGGUUUAUUGGAUCGUACCCGUUAAAUGGAUAACUGUAAUAACUCUAGAGCUAAUACAUGCCUCGAAGCCCUGACCUGUGCAAAACACAGGGAUGGGUGCACUUAUUAGAUCAGAAACCAACCGAGUCAGGGUUGCCUGAAUUGGUGCCUCUGGCUUGUUGUCGUUCUGGUGACUCUGGAUAAUUGUUACAGAUCGCAGUCGGCCUUGCGUCGGCGACGGGUCCUUCAAAUGUCUGCCCUAUCAACUUUCGAUGGUAGGUGAUCUGCCUACCAUGGUGAUAACGGGUAACGGGGAAUCAGGGUUCGAUUCCGGAGAGGGAGCCUGAGAAACGGCUACCACUUCCAAGGGAGGCAGCAGGCGCGCAAAUUACCCACUCCCGGUACGGGGAGGUGGUGACGAAAAAUACCGAUGCGGGACUCUUCAAGAGGCUCCGUAAUCGGAAUGAGUGAACUCUAAAUCCUUUCACGAGGAUCAAUUGGAGGGCAAGUCUGGUGCCAGCAGCCGCGGUAACUCCAGCUCCAAUAGCGUAUAUUAAAGUUGCUGCAGUUAAAAAGCUCGUAGUUGGAUCUCGGUAUCACUGUUGCCUGCCAUUGCUUGGCCAGUUGAGUGUCAGUCUUAGCAGCUGAAUGUUGUGUGGUCGUGAUGCUCGACUGUGUUCAAGUUGGUGCGGUAGCGGUGCCACCUUUUAGCCAUGUCUGUGGUGAAAUACCCACAGGUGUAGACGAGUGUCAGGCGGUGCUCUGCAGCUGUAGGGUCCGUCGGCUCGCCUGCAUGCCUUUGGAUGCCCUUCAUAAGGUGUCUGUGGGCGGAUGGCACGUUUACUUUGAACAAAUUUGAGUGCUCAAACCAGGCCGCUGUAGCCUGAAAAGUUUUGCAUGGAAUAAUGGAAUAGGACUUCGGUUCUAUUUUGUUGGUUUUCGGAUCCGAAGUAAUGAUCAAAAGAGACAGGCGGGGACGUUUGUAUGGUUGCGCUAGAGGUGAAAUUCAUGGACCGUAACCAGACAGACUAAAGCGAAAGCAUUCGUCAAGCAUGUUUUCAUUGACCAUGAGCGAAAGUCAGAGGCUCGAAGACGAUCAGAUACCGUCCUAGUUCUGACCAUAAACGAUGCCAACUGACGAUCCGUGAUGGUAGCUCUCUAACCGUCCUCACGGGCAGCCCCCGGGAAACCUUUAAGUCUAUGGGUUCCGGGGGAAGUAUGGUUGCAAAGCUGAAACUUAAAGGAAUUGACGGAAGGGCACCACCAGGAGUGGAGCCUGCGGCUUAAUUUGACUCAACACGGGAAAACUCACCCGGGCCGGACACUGUGAGGAUUGACAGAUUGAAAGCUCUUUCUUGAUUUGGUGGUUGGUGGUGCAUGGCCGUUCUUAGUUGGUGGAGCGAUUUGUCUGGUUAAUUCCGAUAACGAACGAGACUCUAGCCUGCUAAUUAGUGCGCCUGUCCUCUGUUCCUGUGUUGGCAGCUCUCAGCGCUACUGCCUUCCAAUACGAGGCUGCUAGUAACGUUGUUUGGGGCCGGUUAGUUGCCAUUUGGAGCGACAUGUUUGUUGGCGAAAGUAAUUGUCGAUGAUGGUCGUUUCUGUGGUUGGCUUUCUGGUCUUGGCAUACGUAUACGGUAGUUGAGUUUAGGCGGUGGAGUCGGGUUUUGCUUCCGGGUACGGCGCACGUGUCUACUUCUUAGAGGGACAAGCAUAUACAAAUGCACGAGAUUGAGCAAUAACAGGUCUGUGAUGCCCUUAGAUGUCCGGGGCCGCACGCGCGCUACAAUGACGGUGCCAACGAGUCUGACCUCCUGGCCCGAAAGGGUUGGGCAAACUGGUCAAUCACCGUCAUGUCAGGAUCGGGGGCUUGGAAUUAUUCCCCGUGAACCAGGAAUUCCUAGUAAGUGCAAGUCAUAAGCUUGCGCUGAUUACGUCCCUGCCCUUUGUACACACCGCCCGUCGCUACUACCGAUUGAAUGGUUUAGUA